GGAGGUCCGAACCCACGAGCGUUGAAAAGCUCGGGGAUGACUUGUGGGUAGCGGUGAAAUUCCAAUCGAGCCCGGAGAUAGCUGGUUCUCCCCGAAAUAGCUUUAGGGCUAGCCUCAAGGUGAGAGAUACGGAGGUAGAGCACUGAAUGUCCUAGGGGGUAUUGCACCUACCGAAGACUAUCAAACUCCGAAUGCCGUCAUCUUAUACUUGGGAGUCAGACUGUGGGUGAUAAGAUUCAUAGUCGAAAGGGCAACAGCCCAGAUCGUCAGCUAAGGUCCCUAAAUGUAAGUUAAGUGGUAAAGGAUGUGGGAUUGCACAGACAACCAGGAUGUUGGCUUAGAAGCAGCCACUCAUUCAAAGAGUGCGUAAUAGCUCACUGGUCGAGUGAUCCUGCGCCGAAGAUUUCCGGGGCUAAAACUUACUACCGAAGCUACGGCAUCAGUAAUGAUGGGUAGGGGAGCUUCCCAUACGGGUUGAAGCAUGACCGUAAGGACAUGUGGACAGUAUGGGAGUGAGAAUGUUGGCAUGAGUAGCGAGAUGUGGGUGAGAAUCCCACAGGCCGUAAACCCAAGGUUUCCAGGGGAAGGUUCGUCCGCCCUGGGUUAGUCGGGACCUAAGCUGAGGCCGAAAGGCGUAGGUGAUGGACAACAGGUUGAUAUUCCUGUACUACCGAUAACCGUUUGAGAGAAGGGAUGACACAGUAGGAUAAGCUAAGCACACUGUUGGUUAUGUGUGCCCAAGCAUUGAGGCAGUCAAAGUAGGCAAAUCCGCUUUGAUAAUGCUGGGAUGUGAUGGGGAGCGAAAUUUAGUAGCGAAGUAGCUGAUUUCACACUGUCAAGAAAAGUCUCUAUCGAGGUUAAAGGUACCCGUACCGCAAACCGACACAGGUGGGUGAGGAGAGUAUCCUAAGGCCAGCGAGAGAACUGUUGUUAAGGAACUCGGCAAAAUGACCCCGUAACUUAGGGAUAAGGGGUGCCACCAUCAGGUGGCCGCAGAGAAUAGGCCCAAGCGACUGUUUACCAAAAACAUAGGUUUCUGCUAAGUCGCAAGACGAUGUAUAGGAGCUGACGCCUGCCCGGUGCUGGAAGGUUAAGGGGAUCUGUUAGAGCAAUCGAAGCAGUGAACUUAAGCCCCAGUAAACGGCGGCCGUAACUAUAACGGUCCUAAGGUAGCGAAAUUCCUUGUCGGGUAAGUUCCGACCCGCACGAAAGGCGUAACGAUUUGGGCACUGUCUCAACAACAGACUCGGUGAAAUUGUAAUUCCGGUGAAGAUGCCGGAUACCUGCGACAGGACGGAAAGACCCCAUGGAGCUUUACUGUAGCUUGACAUUGGGUCUUGGUACUACAUGUACAGGAUAGGUGGGAGGCUUUGAAACCAGGACGCCAGUUUUGGCGGAGCCAUCCUUGGGAUACCACCCUUGUAGUACUGGGACUCUAACCAUAGGCCAUGAAUCUGGUCUUGGGACACUGUCAGGUGGGCAGUUUGACUGGGGCGGUCGCCUCCCAAAAGGUAACGGAGGCGCUCAAAGGUUCUCUCAGUACGGUCGGAAAUCGUACGUAGAGUGUAAAGGCAAAAGAGAGCUUGAUUGCAAGACAUACAGGUCGAGCAAGGAUGAAAAUCGGACUUAGUGAUCCGGUGGUUCUGCGUGGAAGGGCCAUCGCUCAACGGAUAAAAGCUACCCUGGGGAUAACAGGCUUAUCUCCCCCAAGAGUCCACAUCGACGGGGAGGUUUGGCACCUCGAUGUCGGCUCAUCACAUCCUGGGGCUGUAGUAGGUCCCAAGGGUUGGGCUGUUCGCCCAUUAAAGUGGUACGCGAGCUGGGUUCAGAACGUCGUG
Molecule: ribosomal RNA, 1838 nt
Filed under: Clostridioides difficile
Lineage: Bacteria; Bacillati; Bacillota; Clostridia; Peptostreptococcales; Peptostreptococcaceae
Description: bacterial LSU rRNA
Rfam family: Bacterial large subunit ribosomal RNA
Source: RNAcentral